Molecule: ribosomal RNA, 492 nt
Filed under: uncultured bacterium
Lineage: Bacteria
Description: bacterial SSU rRNA
Rfam family: Bacterial small subunit ribosomal RNA
Source: RNAcentral
GAAACGCUGGCGGCAGGCUUUAACACAUGCAAGUCGAACGGUAACAUAAAGAAGCCUGCUUCUUUGUAUGACGAGUGGCGGACGGGUGAGUAAUGCUUGGGAAUCUAGCUUAUGGAGGGGGAUAACUACGGGAAACUGUAGCUAAUACCGCGUAAUAUCGAAAAGAUUAAAAGUGUGGGACCUUCGGGCCACAUGCCAUAGGAUGAGCCCAAGUGGGAUUAGGUAGUUGGUGAGGUAAAGGCUCACCAAGCCGACGAUCUCUAGCUGGUCUGAGAGGAUGACCAGCCACACUGGGACUGAGACACGGCCCAGACUCCUACGGGAGGCAGCAGGUGGGAAUAUUGCGCAAUGGGGGCAACCCUGACGCAGCCAUGCCGCGUGAAUGAAGAAGGCCUUCGGGUUGUAAAGUUCUUUCGGUAGCGAGGAAGGCAUUUAGUUUAAUAGACUAGGUGAUUGACGUUAACUACAGAAGAAGCACCGGCUAACUCCGUG